Molecule: ribosomal RNA, 254 nt
Filed under: uncultured microorganism
Description: partial 16S ribosomal RNA
Rfam family: Archaeal small subunit ribosomal RNA
Source: RNAcentral
CACCGGCGGCUCGAGUGGUGGCCACUUUUAUUGGGUCUAAAGCGUCCGUAGCCGGCUUGGCAAGUCCCCUGGGAAAUCUGGCGGCUUAACCGUCAGGCGUCCAGAGGAUACUGCCAGGCUUGGGACCGGGAGAGGUGAGAGGUACCUCAGGGGUAGGGGUGAAAUCUUGUGAUCCCUGAGGGACCACCAGUGGCGAAGCCGGUCUCCUGGGCCGUUCCUGACGCUGAGGCCCGAAAGCUAGGGGAGCAAACCGG